ACUUACAUGGGAAAUCUAUUAGGUAAUUUGAGUCAACCAAAAUACGGGCAUUUGAAACAACUUCAUGAUGUUCUUCACUCUAUAGAGAAAACUCUAACAUACGGAAACAUCUCCACCAUUGACUUUGGAAACUCUGCAUCGGUAAUAUUCUUGUUAUUUUUUAUCAGUAUAUUCUUGAAAUAAUUACUUAUCAUGAAAAUAUUACAUAGGCAACAAUUUAUAAAACCGAAGAAGGAUCAAGCUGCUUUUUUGGAAAUGGAAAUGAAAAUUCAGAUGCAACAAUUAGUUUCCAAGGAGAAUCUUACGUUGUCCCGGCUUGGUCUGUUACCAUUUUACCGGAUUGCAAAAAUGAGGCUUAUAACACCGCCAAGGUUUUUUAUUUAAAAUUUUCUUUUGUGGACUUUAAAUUUUCAUACUAACAACCAUUAUUCAUUCAAAGUUGUAACCAAAGUUCAUUUUUUGUUGGUUUUAUAUUUUCAGAUUACCACACAGACUUCAAUGAUGGUUAAGAAACCAAAUGAAGCUGAGGAUACCCCUUCAACUCUGAAAUGGUCAUGGACACCAGAAAACAUGGACAACUUCCUUUUGAAAGGAAAAGGAGAAUCUACACAUACACAACUAUUUGAUCAGAAAGUAGUCACCAAUGACCAAAGUGAUUAUCUAUGGUACAUGACUACCGUUAAGUUUAAAAAACGAGAUCCUUUUGUGGGUAAAACCAUGUCUCUUCGCAUCAACAGUACUGCUCAUGUCCUUCACGCUUUCGUCAAUGGAAAAAAUAUUGGUAAGUAACUCUUAUAUAUGUUUUACAAAUCUCAAUAACACCAACUUACCAAAAAGUCUUUGAUUUAUAUUUGUAGGUAAUCAACACGCUGAGAAUGGAAAAUUUAACUAUGUAUUUGAGAAAGAUGUGAAGUUUAAGUCUGGUCGUAAUGUCAUUGCUCUUCUUAGCAUAACUGUGGGACUUGCGGUAAGUUCUUAGAUAUUCUUUAUCUUGUAUUUAUUUUUAAAGUUAAAUCUCUUAUUUUUUUACAUUUUAACUGAAAAUAAAAAAUUUUGACAAUUUUUUUUUAUAGAACUAUGAUGCUUUCUUUGAAAGUAAGCCGGCUGGAAUCACUGGACCCAUUUUUAUUACUGGAAUAAAUGGUGAUGAAACUAUAGUUAAGGACUUGUCUGCUCAUAAAUGGAGCUACAAAACCGGUUUAAAUGGGUUUGACAACCAACUCUUUAGAACGGAAGCAAUGUCUAAAUGGUCAGUUGAAAAUGUACCGUUUAACCGAACCAUGACUUGGUAUAAGGUAAACAGAUGUUAUUAUAUAUAAGAUAACAAACCAAACACUUGUUGAUUCAAUAUCAAAUCAAAUCAUUCCAUUUUUUCUUUCAGGCUACAUUCAAGUCUCCCUUGGGAAAUGAUCCAGUUGUUGUCGAUCUUAUGGGACUUGGAAAAGGUACAGCUUGGGUCAAUGGAAACAACAUUGGGCGUUAUUGGCCGGCAUUCAUUUCAAGCGAAAAUGGUUGUGAUGCAAAAUGUAAUUAUAGAGGUGCUUAUCAUGCUGAAAAAUGUCUGACCAAUUGUGGAGAACCCACACAAAGAUGGUACAUUUUCCACAUCUUAUUAGGUUCUAGAAUAAAAUAUGUUAAUGUUUAACCUGAGAAAUCUUUACAUGGAUUUUGUUGCUUUGUUAUUUUCUUGAACAGGUACCAUGUUCCUCGUUCUUUCUUGAAUGCAGAAGGAUAUAACACACUAGUUUUGUUUGAAGAGAUGGGAGGAAACCCAUCGCUUGUCAGUUUCCAAACUACUAGAGUAGGAAGUGUUUGUGCUAACGUCUACGAAAAAACAAUUAUUGAGCUUUCAUGCGACAGAAAACCCAUUUCUGCCAUCAAAUUUGCAUCCUUUGGUAACCCAGAUGGCAAUUGUGGAUCUUUUGAAAAAGGAACUUGUGAAUCAAGUAAAAACACGGCCGAUAUUCUCACACAAGAAUGUGUUGGAAAAGAGAAGUGUUCCAUUGAUGUCUCAACAGAAAAGUUUGGUGCACCAGAUUGCAGUGGUGCUCCUAGAAGGCUUGCAGUCGAAGCUAUAUGUUAAAUGGUUUUCUAGAUUUAUGGUGUUUUCUUUAUCAUAUUUCCAAAUUAUGCUAUAUUUUUUUUCAAAGAUUUAAUUCUUUUAAUAUUUAUUGGUGGUUGUUUUAUUCAAUAAAAGAACAUAUUCUUAUAUACAUUUUACACGGUCAUCUUCUUUUCCCAAAACAUUCAUGGUCAUUUCUUCUCCGCCAUCAUCACUCUCUCUGAAAAAUUGAAUAAUUGUUCCCUUCGAUAUUUAUUAUUUUUUUUAAUAUAUAACAAUGACUAAACUGCGUUGGCUCAGUUGGUAAAUAACUAAUUUUAGAGUAAUAAAAUACACGAGUUCAAGUCUUAUUGAGACUUUUUUAUUUUUAUUUUUGUAUUAAAUAAAAUCUUGAGCUUAUAACCAAUCACACAAAAUGAUAGAGGAAAAACAUCACAUUUGAAAGCGUAACAGAGUGUUUUACUUUAAAGAAAUUGUAUAUAAAUACGUGAAGAAUAUAAGACUAUAUCUUAAAUAGUAUAUUAGACUCUCUAUAAAUAGUAUAGUUCGCACAAGUACGAUGUAUAAUUUGUAGUUUAUAGGUUUUAAUUGUUCACAGUAUUCAAUACUUUUUGGCCAUCUUUGAUUUUAAAUAAUAUAACCAAAAUAUGUUAUCAUUUGUAAAUGCUUAGUUUGAUAAUAAGUACAAACCAAUCGAUUCAUAACAAUGAUACAUUAACAAAACAUACCAAAUGUUUAUUUACUGUGCAGCCACAUUUCUAUUCUACUUCGUCAAAUAGAAUGGAAUACUACACAUAACACACUGGAACUGAAUGACAUGAUGUAAAGCCGAUGAAGUAAUUAAGGAGAAGAAUGAGGAGACGAAUGAGAAAAUAUGAUUUGAAGAAGAGCUGGUGCCGGAGUCGAUGAGGACGAAAAGAAACCACCACAAAAGGUGCAGAAGAAAAAGAGACAAGAAGAAAAAGAGACAGUGGGAUGAAGAGACAUGGGUGACGACGGCAGUGGAGAGAAGGUUGUGGCAACGAUGAAACAACCGGUGGUGAUGGUAGUCGCAUCAGGUGGAAUAAUAUAAACAUAAUAUAUAUUAUAUUGCAUUUCAUUUAUAUUCUUUAUGUAUACAAUAGUAUAGAACAUAAAAAAUGUUCGCACUAAGAUGUGGAGGCAGUGGAGAGAAGGUUGUGCAACGAUGAAACAACUGGUGAUGGUGAUAGUUGUUGUGCUGAUCAUAUGGAAUAAUAUAAACAUAAUAUAUAUUGCAUUGCAUUCAUUUCUAUUCUAUAUGUAUACAAUAGUACAGAACAUAUAAAAUAUAAAAUGUUCAUUUUCUCCGGUCAUUUUUACUAACUGUGGCGUGUAUGUAACAGCAGCAAAAAAAAAGGUGUUUUUCUCCAUGUCAAAUACAUAGGAUGUGGAGGAAGUGAGUCCUAGAAUGUGAAUAAAAAAAAGAGGAAGAAAGUGAGGGGUUUGUGCUUUCAAAUUUGCUAAACACUAGUAGCGUGAAUGUUAGGAAAUUGGCAACACAAUAUUCGUUUCAAAUCAACUCUGGUGCGUCUAAAGCGUACGUCCAAUGAAUAGAUAUAUCAAACUGUAUUCAUUUCUACAGUAUCACACCAACCUAAUUCAAAAUUGCGAUACCAAGCGAUGAGAAAGUAAGUUACACAACAAUAGUACAAGAAUUUAAACGUUUCUUUUCCUAUUUUGUUGUUAACUUAAUAUGGUUUUUUUAUCAGGGGGUAACAAUCUAAAGCAACUUCUUAUGGAACUGUAAAUGAUCAUGGUUUAAUUAUCAUGAAUCACGGAGAAUGGUUUGAGAUUAAUAGUUUCAAACUAAUGCACGCAUCUGGGAUUACACAAGGACGACUAGAAAAAGAUACCAUCUUCUCCUAGACAAAAAUACACUUGACUUACCAGAUUCCACCAACAGCCUGCUGCAACUAAGUUGACAUUAAGACUAAUUGUAUGGGAUACAUGAUAUUUUUCAUUUCAUUUGUGUUUUUAUUUUCUGAAUAAUUUGUUGAUGUUUUCUAUUUUAACGAUUCUGGCUUUUUUGUAACCUUCCAUCUGCCAGUUUAAUUGAUGAAUUGUCUACUUCAAGUAAUUUUCGCAGAAAUAAAUUAUAUUCAUGUAUUAUUUUUAGUUUUGUAUGAUUCAAAGUUGAAGAAGAACUUUGAAUAAUAAACUAAUCUAACCACACCAAAAAUUCCAUCAAAUUACAGCAGCACAUAUAAAUCUGGAAGACAAACCUGCGAUUGGUUUAUAUAUAUCAGCUUGAAAGGCAUAAUAUUUGGUUCUGUCAGUUCUCGGAUCAUCAGUGACGAAGUACUGCUCGGCUUUUGAAGUCCUUGGAGCUUGAGCUAUCGAGUAAUUGUUGUCGGAGUUUUAGAGGAAUCACUGUACAUAUGAAACUUCAUCUUGAAUCGAAAGAGGAGAAUUGUGGGAUUGUUUUGAUCGAUUGAAAGGGAUCAGAUCGAAUUUUGAUUAAUCCACCGAAACAUUAAAAAAUAUUGAAAGCGUUUAGAUACGAUGUAGCCUUAUUUGGUGCAGAAUCAUUUUAUGUUUUGGGUUGUUACUCACCUGCCCCAAUUGUUUUUUUUUUUUUUUUUCCGUCGAAAAGUUUUUAAUAUUAAAAACAGGCCAAGCCCAAUACAAAUAACAAACAUACAAAUUGCAAACUCG
Molecule: long non-coding RNA, 4738 nt
Filed under: Brassica rapa (field mustard)
Lineage: Eukaryota; Viridiplantae; Streptophyta; Magnoliopsida; Brassicales; Brassicaceae
Description: long non-coding RNA (BRAP_LNC005366)
Source: RNAcentral